RNAcentral lists this ribosomal RNA (484 nucleotides) under uncultured bacterium. Its description in RNAcentral is "partial 16S ribosomal RNA". It matches the Rfam family "Bacterial small subunit ribosomal RNA", at positions 30 to 507 of the family's 1533-position model. The record is from RNAcentral.
AUUGAACGCUGGCGGCAGGCCUAACACAUGCAAGUCGAGCGGAUGAAGGGAGCUUGCUCCUGGAUUCAGCGGCGGACUGGUGAGUAAUGCCUAGGAAUCUGCCUGGUAGUGGGGGAUAACGUCCGGAAACGGGCGCUAAUACCGCAUACGUCCUGAGGGAGAAAGUGGGGGAUCUUCGGACCUCACGCUGUCAGAUGAGCCUAGGUCGGAUUAGCUAGUUGGUGGGGUAAAGGCCUACCAAGGCGACGAUCCGUAACUGGUCUGAGAGGAUGAUCAGUCACACUGGAACUGAGACACGGUCCAGACUCCUACGGGAGGCAGCAGUGGGGAAUAUUGGACAAUGGGCGAAAGCCUGAUCCAGCCAUGCCGCGUGUGUGAAGAAGGUCUUCGGAUUGUAAAGCACUUUAAGUUGGGAGGAAGGGCAGUAAGUUAAUACCUUGCUGUUUUGACGUUACCAACAGAAUAAGCACCGGCUAACUUCGUG